RNAcentral lists this non-coding RNA (235 nucleotides) under Paenibacillus rhizosphaerae. RNAcentral describes it as "T-box sequence". It matches the Rfam family "T-box leader". Rfam says of the family: Uncharged tRNA acts as the effector for transcription antitermination of genes in the T-box leader family. T-boxes are found upstream of many aminoacyl-tRNA synthetase genes and some amino acid biosynthetic genes usually in Gram-positive bacteria. The anticodon of a specific tRNA base pairs to a specifier sequence within the T-box motif, and the NCCA acceptor tail of the tRNA base pairs to a conserved bulge in the T-box antiterminator hairpin. Lineage: Bacteria; Bacillati; Bacillota; Bacilli; Caryophanales; Paenibacillaceae. The record is from RNAcentral.
CCAAAUGCGAUGAAGAGGACAAGUAGAUCAGGAAACGCCGUUCAGAGAACUGCCGGUUGGUGCGAGGCAGCGGAUAUCCGAAUCAAAAAUCACCUCAGAGCUGGCCUCCGAACUAUAGUAGAUGGGCCCGGGAUUCUACCGUUACAAAGAAGCAUCGUUGUUGGACGAUGGCUAAAGAGGGCGUUUAUUAUAAACGUCAAUCAGGGUGGUAACGCGGAGCAACUCCGUCCCUAAU